GUAACAUCAAGGAAAGAUCAACAGCAGUAUUGGGCACAUAAAGAUGUGCCUUACAGUUUUAUCACAGUUAAGGAAUUUGCAGAGGCAUUUCAGUCAUUUCAUGUGGGACAAGGACUUUCAGGCGAGCUUUCUACUCCAUUUGACAAAGCCAAGAGCCAUCCAGCUGCUUUGGCAACAAAAAAGUACGGCGUUAGUAAUAUUCAACUGCUGAAAGCUUGCUUCUCAAGAGAGUUAUUGCUCAUGAAGAGGAACUCAUUCGUCUACAUCUUCAAGCUUACCCAAGUUAUUUAGGCAGUAUCUUCUGCUCGUUCUUGUUAGUCAGAUGGCUUCUGCAUUAUUUCGAUUUAUUGCUGCAGCAGGAAGGAACAUGAUUGUAGCAAACACCUUUGGAUCAUUUGCACUUCUUACACUUUUUGCAUUAGGUGGCUUUAUCUUAUCACGAGAUGAUAUAAAGAAAUGGUGGAUAUGGGGUUACUGGAUAUCCCCAUUGAUGUAUGGGCAGAACGCCAUAGUAGUUAACGAGUUCUUUGGAAAGAGUUGGAGUCGAGUUCUUCCAAGCUCGACAGAACCACUGGGAAUUGAAGUUUUGCAGUCCCGAGGAUUCUUCACAAAUGCAUAUUGGUAUUGGAUAGGAGUAGGGGCAUUGGCUGGAUUUACAUUACUAUACAACCUUUGUUUCACUCUAGCUCUCACAUUCCUAGGCCCAUUGCAGAAUCCUCAAGCUGUUAUAUCCGAUGGCUCUCCAAGCAAUGAAUCAGGAAGUGGUCACCAAACUCCUACAGAGAGUUGGAGAGGCAGUUCAUCUGUAAAAGCUGAGGUCAUAGUUAGUGGCAACCAUCAGAACAAAAAAGG
Molecule: unclassified non-coding RNA, 852 nt
Filed under: Hevea brasiliensis (rubber tree)
Lineage: Eukaryota; Viridiplantae; Streptophyta; Magnoliopsida; Malpighiales; Euphorbiaceae
Source: RNAcentral